GACCGCGUAGCUCAGUUGGUAGAGCAUUGGGCUAGUAUUCCAAAGGUCGUAGGUUCGAUUCCCACCGUGGCCG
Molecule: non-coding RNA, 73 nt
Organism: Paramuricea clavata
Lineage: Eukaryota; Metazoa; Cnidaria; Anthozoa; Malacalcyonacea; Plexauridae
Source: the annotation of a GenBank genome assembly